AUUGAACGCUGGCGGCAGGCCUAACACAUGCAAGUCGAGCGGUAGCACAGGGAGCUUGCUCCUGGGUGACGAGCGGCGGACGGGUGAGUAAAGCCUGGGAAACUGCCUGAUGGAGGGGGAUAACUACUGGAAACGGUAGCUAAUACCGCAUAACGUCGCAAGACCAAAGAGGGGGACCUUCGGGCCUCUUGCCAUCAGAUGUGCCCAGAUGGGAUUAGCUAGUAGGUGGGGUAACGGCUCACCUAGGCGACGAUCCCUAGCUGGUCUGAGAGGAUGACCAGCCACACUGGAACUGAGACACGGUCCAGACUCCUACGGGAGGCAGCAGUGGGGAAUAUUGCACAAUGGGCGCAAGCCUGAUGCAGCCAUGCCGCGUGUAUGAAGAAGGCCUUCGGGUUGUAAAGUACUUUCAGCGGGGAGGAAGGUGUUGAGGUUAAUAACCUCAGCAAUUGACGUUACCCGCAGAAGAAGCACCGGCUAACUCCGUGCCAGCCGCCGCAGUAA
Molecule: ribosomal RNA, 504 nt
Filed under: uncultured bacterium
Lineage: Bacteria
Description: partial 16S ribosomal RNA
Rfam family: Bacterial small subunit ribosomal RNA
Source: RNAcentral